UUAAAGAACUAGGGGUGCCGGAUAGACCGGCUGAGAUAAAGAUGCAUUUCUUUAACCCUCAACCUGAUCUGGAUAAUGCCAGCGUAGGGAAGUUUGGGCGAUGAUGU
This 107-nucleotide non-coding RNA is filed under the name Peptoclostridium litorale. RNAcentral's name for it is "Clostridium litorale TPP sequence". It matches the Rfam family "TPP riboswitch aptamer (THI element)". From Rfam's summary of the family: Vitamin B(1) in its active form thiamin pyrophosphate (TPP) is an essential coenzyme that is synthesised by coupling of pyrimidine and thiazole moieties in bacteria. The previously detected thiamin-regulatory element, thi box was extended, resulting in a new, highly conserved RNA secondary structure, the THI element, which is widely distributed in eubacteria and also occurs in some archaea. RNAcentral also lists the same sequence under 1 other name. Lineage: Bacteria; Bacillati; Bacillota; Clostridia; Peptostreptococcales; Peptoclostridiaceae. The record is from RNAcentral.